CACAAGGACUGCAGCUUGGAACUUUCCACUGUCCUCACGUGGCCGCGAGUUGACACACAUCUUCUGUCACUCAGGACCCGAGGGGGCAGAGCCUGAAGCCCUAUUAUCCAGUCACUGGUGCUGGGGUGAAAACUGUCCAAUCAGGCGAUGAACUGCAGAGGUCGGGGCGGUCUUCCUCACCCGGCUGGUCCUUUGUUUCCUGAGUUUGUGCUCCUGGCUCCGGGUACCCUCUGGUCUCCACUGCUUUGUCUCCUUCACGCCUAGAUGCCCUAAAUGGCUGUGCAGUGGCCUCUGUGGCUCUGUGACUUGCACGAACUGAGAAAUUUAUGAGGAGACGCCAGGACAUGGACUCAGACACCUUUCAGGAUUUAGCUGUGAACUUUACCAAGAAGGAGUGGGCUUUGUUGGAUUCUUAGAAAAAUCUACAGAAAUGUAAUGUGGGAAACGUUCAGGAAGCUGGCUUCUACAGUCUAGAAAACAAAUGGAAAUGCCAGAACAUUGAAGAUCAACUCAAAAAUUCUGGAAGUAAUCUAAGGCACCUCAUAUCUCACUCUGGACACGAGCCAUAUGAAUGUGAAGAAAAUGGAAAGAAGCCAGAUAGACCUAAAUGAUGUCAGAAAGCCAUCAUUUCUCUCACGUGUGUUCGAGGACACAUGGAAAUGCACACUAGAAAUGGACCUUAUAAAUGUACAGUAUGUGGAAAAGCCUUUGAUUUUCCCAAUGUUUUUUAUACACAUCACAGAAAUCACACUAAAAAGAAAGCCUAUAAAUAUAAACAAUGUGGUAGAGCCUUCAGUUACUUGGAUUCUUUUGAGAAACAGAAGAACUCACACUGGGACAAAACUCUAUAAAUGUAAGUAUGAACAGACACAAGCAUUAUUAAAUGCUGCUACAUGCUGAAUUGAAUCUCAGGAGACUCACAGGCUCGCUAGAGUUCCAGAAUGAGGAAAUCCUUUUCAGAAGAACCAGAGAAUCUAUUCCUUAAACCUGGAGAAGAGCAUGAUGUCAUAGUUUCAUUUCUUCAAAGGAUUCUGAAGCCUGGGAAAAAAGACAGAAGCAGAACAGAAAGACAUUCUUCAUUUUGUUGACUGCAGGGGUGGAGGCUGGAAGUCUCUGCCACUAAAAUUGAUGAACUGGACACAUGCCAUGUUGUGAAUAAAGCUGAUUGUUAAUGCUAGUGCCCUGGCCUGGCAAGGUCUGAUUCUUUCCACGGAUCCCAGCUGAGCCCCUGUGGGAGCUGCUCCCUGCACUGAUGUGGUCCCUUGGCUGGCAGGCCCCUCUAUGGUCAACCACAUGACACCUGCCUGUUAUGAGGGACAGAGUCCAAAGAAGCAACUCAGCUCUUCAGGUAUCAUGUAUGUGUUUUCUGGGAAUUGCUUUUCUCUCCUAAGUAGACUACAAAUUUGAGACUGAUUUUCUCUGUCAGUAAAUGUGAAUGCUUCCAGUCAUCUGUCAAGUAUCUUCUAUUGUUCUGACAAUGAGGCAGAUGCCUGCUGUUUUGGGUCAAACCUAGGUAAAUGUGCAUGACCACAGCAAGUACCACUGAGGACCUAUUGGGAUACUUUCUCUAAAUUGAUCGCAUUUCAUUUACCAGUUGGAUAAUGGUACCACAUUACCAUUGUGCUCUUGCUUUUUCUGCUUCUCCAUUCAUUUCCAUUCGUCUUUGAAUUCUUUAAAAAAUCUUGCCUACAUUUUUCUGUGGCCCCAAAGGACAUUGUGUUGGACUAGUGAUGGUGUGUACAAUUCAAUAAGUGUCUGGUCUCUGAACUGAAAGAAUAACCUUUUGAAUUUUAGAGAUUCAGGACUCAGGAGAAGACUUCGUGGCAAGAGUUGACGUAGGAGUUGACAGCGCAAACCCUACACCAGUUCUUAGCAGUGUUGAUCUCCAAGAAAGAACAGAAACAGCUGCAAGUCCUGCUCCCAGAGACUUACAGGUCCCAGAGUGAGGAAGUCCCUUUUCAGUGGAUCCAGAGAAUCUAUUUGUUAAACCUGGAGAAGAACAUGAGGUUAUAGUUUCUUUUUCUCCAAAGGAUCCCAAAGUUUGGGAGGAAAGGAUCUAAAAAAUAUUUGUGCAGCCAUUUGGACCUCAGUGUGAAGUGAUAUUAAAAGGUGAAGUCCAUUCUUCAGGAAGUAAACCUCUGCCACGUGGAUCACGCUCAGACAUUCUAUUGAAUUUUGUCUGACAAACAGUUUCUUGCUUUGGAAGGUGUCUUUCUUGGUGGAACACUAUGCAAAGAGUACCUGACAUGUGGCCACAACACAGGGUCUGCUGAAGAGGGAGUAUCAUCACCUCAAACUCACAGCCACCUGAUAUUUUCAAAAGCCAGCCAAGAGAGAUGUUUACAGAGAGCUGCGGAGAAAACAUGCAGUCCAUCCAGGCAUCUCAUUGAGCUAAGUUUCUCAAGCAGUCACCCCGUGGUUUUAGCAGACCCCACAGAAGUGGUUUUGAUGCUCCAGCCUUGGGUGUCAUACUGUGCCCAUACCAAAUGGAGCACCUCCAAAGGAGCAGACCCGAAGAAAUGGUAUUUAGUGUACUGUAAAAUUGGGGUUUUGAGACUCCCCAUAUAAUACAGAUUCCUCUCCAAAGGUCUCAGCUUUCUCUUUUAGUACAAGGCAGAGGAGGCAUAGACCACAGCUUAAAUAAUUUAUUAGCUGCUGAUUUUCCACAAAUUUGAGUAAGACCCUUCUUUUAACAGACAAAAUGUGGGUGAGAUGGCAACGUAACUCACAAAAAACUGGUGCCUCUUCUUUUUUGAGGUGGUUAUGGGCUUGUGGAACUCAGCUGGUCAUACUUACAUUAUAAGUGGACAGGAAGAUGUAUGUGGGGUCGUCUUUAUCCUCUGGGAUGUAUCCUCACCAAAUUAGACUGUCCUCCAUCUAACUGGAAAACUGUAAAGACUCAUUAUAGAAGCCAUCUGCUUCUAUUAGACGGCUAUACCUUCUUCACAGGCAGCCACGAUCAAUGUUGAGCUGCAAGUUGAGGCCUUGGCCGAGCACACGGCUGCAGCUUUGAGUAAUACGCACCAUGCCCUUACCCUCCUGAGGACACCUCUCAGAUUAGGCAGGUGGCCUUACCAAACCGAAUGGCAAAGCCAUUUUAACAGAAGUUCAAGAGGGAACUUGUGCUUUGAUCAAAAUCAAAUGUUGCAGCAUGUUAGAGACUAUUCAUAUAAUAUUACCCGGGUUAAGAAAGCUUUAGACACUCGUAUCUCUGCCAUUGAUGCCCUGUCAGCCAACUCCAUGUCGGCUUGGUCCCGACAACUGCCCAGUCUUUGGAAAGCCUUCCUGUUAGUUUAGCUGGGAUAAUUUUACUUAUUUUUCUUUGAUGUUGUUGAAUAUAUUAUGGUUGUACUCUUUGUAUAGGAACACAAGAUAAGCUUACUCAAUACUUUCUUAAAUUGGACACUUAUUAAUCUUCCAGGUUUCACCUUUUGCUGGAACUCAGAACUACAAAUGAUGCUUCAUGUACCAAUGCUUUCUGACUGAGCUCCUCUCUACUCUGAAUACAAGAGACCCUAAUAGUUAUGUGGAAAUAUCAUCGCCCCUGUUCAGCAUGAAGAAGUUACAGAAGACGGACCUUCAUCCUUCUGCAACCCUUAGGAUUGAAGGUCCUCUUGUAAAAGGGAGAGGGGAAAUAUGUAAGAAGCAUUCAAACCAGAGCAACUGCAUUUUGAACAACGGCUGAGAAAAAUGAAGCUGGGUCCUAUUGGGCUGCAUUCCCAGGAGGUUAAGCAUUCCUAGCCUCAAGAUGUUUACAAUUGAGGGAACAGAUUAAUAAUGUUUCCUAAACAGACUCAGGACUUAACAGACCCAGGAAUGUCUUGAUACUUUGAGAGCAAAAGCCCUUCUAGUUUUAAAUAUGCCUUGUACCUAGGAUGGAUGCUUUUCUUACUUUUGGAAAUGCCCUACUCUGUCUAUGGAGUCACUAUUCAUUCACUCCUUUACUUUAAUAAAGUUGCUUCCAUUUUGCACUGUGGACUUGCUCCAAAUUAUUCCCUUCAUGAGACCCAAGAACCUCUCUUAGGGUCUGGAUUCAGACCCCUUUCUGGUAACAGGUGGAUCUACCAUUCUGGGGUCUGGAGGAUGGCAGCCCUCUUCUCACAGCUCCACUAGGCAGUGCCCCACUGGGGACUUUAUAUGGAGGCUCUAACCCCACAUCUUCCCACCACACCAUCCUAGUUAAGGUUUCUCUGGGUUUUGUAUACAUUUUCCUGAAAUCUAGGCAGAGGUUCCUAAGCCUCACUGUGCACCUGCAGGCUUAACACCAUGUGGAAGUUGCCAAGGCUUACAGUUUGCACCCUUAGAAGCAGCAGCCCAAGUUGUACCUUGACCACUCUUAGCCAUGGCUGGAGCUGGAGUGGCCAAAGUUCAGGGCAUCAUGUCUUGAGGCUGCACAGAGCAGCAGGGUGCUGAGCCUGGCCCAUAAACCCAUCCAGUUUUCCUAGGCCUCCAGGCCUAUGAUGAGAGGGACUGUCACAGUGGUCUCUGAAAUGCUUCUGAGGCCAUUUUCACAUUGCCAUGUCAAUUAGCAACUGACUCCUCUUUACUUGGGCAAAUUUCUGCAACCUGCUUGUAAUACCUUCCCCUGAAAAUGGAUUUUUCUUAUCUACUGCAUGGCCAGACUGCAAAGUUUCCAAAUGUUUAAGCUCUGCUUCUCUUUUAAAUAUAAGUUCCAGUUUCAGGUCAUUUUUUUUACUCAGGCAUACGAGCAUAGACUUUUAGAAGUAUCCAGGUCAAAUCUUGAAUGCUUUACUGCUUAGAAAUUUCUUCCACAAGAUACCUUAAAUCACCUUUCUCAAGUUCAAUAUUCCACCGAUUCUUAGAGCAGGAGCACAAUGCCACCAGUCCCUUUGUUGAAGCAUAAGAGAGUGACUUUUACUCCAGUUCCCAAGAAGAUUUUUAUCUCCAUAUGAAACCUACUCAGCCUGGACUUCAUUGUCCAUAUCACUAUCUAUCUGCAUUUUGGUCACAACAAUUUAACAAGUCUUUGGGAAGUUCAAAUUUUUUUCCUAAUCUUCCUGUCUCCUGAGCCUUCCAAACCCUUACAGCCUUUGAUUAUUACCCAGUUCCAAAGCUGCUUCCAUAUUUUAAGGUAUCUUCAAAACAGUGUCCCACACCCAGUACCAAUUUUUGGCACUAGUUCAUUCUUGAAUUGUUACAAAGAAAUGCCUGAGACUGGUUAAUUUCCAAAGAAAAGAGGUUUAAUUGGCUCAUGGUUCCAUAGGUUGUACAGGAAGCAUGGUAGCAUCUGCUCAGCUUCAAUUAGGUGGAAGGCAAAGGGGAAACUGGCACUUCACAUGGCUGGAACACGAGGGAUGGGGGCAGAUGCUACACACUUUUAAACAUGAUCUCAUGAUAACUUGCUAUUGCCAUGAAAACACCAAGGGGGAUGGUGUUAAACCAUGAGAAACUGUCCCCACGACCCAAUCACCUCCCACAAGGCCCCAUCUCCAACACUGGGGAAUACAAUUGAACAUGAGGUCUGGGUAAAGACAGAGAUCCAAACCAUAUGACUCUGUGAGCAUUAAAUAUAUGCAGAAAAAAGAAUUUGACAGAUUCAACAUCUGUUAGCGAUGAAAACUCAACAAAUUAGGUAUAUAAAGAAUGUGCAACUACACAAUAAAAGCCACAUAUGACAGAGUCACAGCUAGCAUCAUAAUCAACAGAGAAAGAAGAUCCAGAACAAGACAAGGAUGCCCUCUCACCACUUCUGUUCAGUAUAGUACUGGAGGUCUUAGAACAGUUAGGCAACAGAAACAAAAGGCAUCCAAAUUGGAAAGAAAAACAUUGAGUUGUUCGUUUGCAGAUGACAUGAUUUUUUUUUUUCUUGAGACAGUCUCUGCCACCCAGACUGGAAUGCAGUGGCAUGAUCAUGGCUAACUGCAGCCCACACCUCCCUGCCUCAAGUGAUCCUCCUGCCUCAGCCUCCUGAGUAGUUGGAACUACAGGCAUAUGACGUGACACAUGGCUUUUAAUUUUUUUUUUUUUUUGAGAUGUGAUUUAUGUUGCCCAGGCUGGUCUCAAACUCCUGAGCUCAAGCUCCAUGACACUGAUCUGGGCAAUGAUAUUUUGGAUUUUGGCCUAAAAGCACACACAACAAAAGGAAAAAUAGGCAAAUGAUAUUACAGCAAACUGAGAAGCUUCUGCACAGCAAAGGAUACAAUGAACAGAGUGGAGAGAAAACCUACAGAAUGGGAGAAAAUAUUUGCAAACCACACAUAUGACAAGAAGCUACUAUCCAAAAAAUAUAAAGAAUUCAAACAACUCAAUAGCAAGAAACAAAGAAAUUUGAGGCCAGGCGCGGUGGCUCAGACCUGUAAUCCCAGCACUUUGGGAGGCUGAGGCAGGUGGAUCACGAGGUCAACAGAUCAAGACCAUCCUGGCCAACAUGGUGAAAUCCCUUCUCUACUAAAAACACAAAAAUUAGCUGGGCAUGGUGGCACACACCUGUAGUCCCAGCUACUCUGGAGGCUGAAGCAGAAGAAUCGCUUGAACCCGGGAGGCAGAGGUCACAGUGAGCCAAGAUAGCACCACUGCACUCCAGCCUGGCAACAGAGGCUCCUUCUCACAAAAAAAAAAAAAAAAAAAAAAAAAAAAAAAAAAAAAAAAAAAAAAAAAAAAAAAAAGAUA
Pongo pygmaeus (Bornean orangutan) is the source of this 6630-nucleotide long non-coding RNA. RefSeq lists it as uncharacterized. The record is from RefSeq and is a predicted model, not a curated record. The transcript is spliced from 12 exons. NCBI's taxonomy places the organism in Eukaryota, Metazoa, Chordata, Mammalia, Primates, Hominidae.